RNAcentral lists this unclassified non-coding RNA (646 nucleotides) under Diospyros dumetorum. RNAcentral describes it as "partial contains internal transcribed spacer 1, 5.8S ribosomal RNA, and internal transcribed spacer 2". Lineage: Eukaryota; Viridiplantae; Streptophyta; Magnoliopsida; Ericales; Ebenaceae. The record is from RNAcentral.
CUGCGGAAGGAUCAUUGUCGAGUCCCGCGAGAGCAGAACGACCCGCGAACCUGUUUACUCAACGUCGGGAGGGGGGCGGCCYUUCCCGUGCCCYUUCCCGCGGCGGGAGAGCGCGGCCGCGSCCCCUCGUGGGAAGCGCUGCGUUCCCCUGCGAAAAAUAACCAAACACCGGCGCGGGACGCGCCAAGGAAAAGAAACGAACGAGCGCGCCCCCGACCCCCGCAACGGCGGCGAGGGGGCGUCGCGAGCUUCGCUCACUACGCAAAACGACUCUCGGCAACGGAUAUCUCGGCUCUCGCAUCGAUGAAGAACGUAGCGAAAUGCGAUACUUGGUGUGAAUUGCAGAAUCCCGUGAACCAUCGAGUCUUUGAACGCAAGUUGCGCCCGAAGCCAUUCGGCCGAGGGCACGUCUGCCUGGGCGUCACGCACGCCGUCGCCCCCCGCCCGUGCCGUCCCCUCGGGGGCGCGUGCGUGUGCGGUGGGGCGGAAAUUGGCCCCCCGUGCCCGCGAGGUGCGGUCGGCUGAAAAAGAGGGAUCCCGGUGGCAGCGGUCACGGCCGGUGGUGGUUGUCAAACCUCAGCGUGUCGGCGAGUGCCCUUCCACCGAUUGGAGUGCCCAACGUGACCCUCGAGCGAUGCCCCAGGGC